AUAUAUGUCAGUAUAGGUUAAAAGGAAGUAAUUAAAGACGACUGGCGCCACCUAGAUUUCACACCCAAGAUAAUAGGUAAAAUAUACAUCAGAUGAUACAGACUUAGAGGAUUCUGUCAGAGAAAUGAAUCAACUUGAUGUUGACGUUACCCUACUGGAUAUGAAAAAUGAAAUGUUAGCAUCUCUUAAAGUUGACUGAGCAAGAUGAAAAACGCACUUGAAUCUGUAACCAGUUUAGAACUCUCAAAGUG
Molecule: long non-coding RNA, 251 nt
Organism: Mytilus californianus (California mussel)
Lineage: Eukaryota; Metazoa; Mollusca; Bivalvia; Mytilida; Mytilidae
Exons: 3
Source: RefSeq, a predicted model, not a curated record